This 649-nucleotide ribosomal RNA is filed under the name Salmonella enterica. Its description in RNAcentral is "partial 23S ribosomal RNA". It matches the Rfam family "Bacterial large subunit ribosomal RNA", at positions 540 to 1190 of the family's 2925-position model. Lineage: Bacteria; Pseudomonadati; Pseudomonadota; Gammaproteobacteria; Enterobacterales; Enterobacteriaceae. The record is from RNAcentral.
GAAAAAGAACCUGAAACCGUGUACGUACAAGCAGUGGGAGCACCCUUUGGGGUGUGACUGCGUACCUUUUGUAUAAUGGGUCAGCGACUUAUAUUCUGUAGCAAGGUUAACCGUAUAGGGGAGCCGGAGGGAAACCGAGUCUUAAUUGGGCGUUAAGUUGCAGGGUAUAGACCCGAAACCCGGUGAUCUAGCCAUGGGCAGGUUGAAGGUUGGGUAACACUAACUGGAGGACCGAACCGACUAAUGUUGAAAAAUUAGCGGAUGACCUGUGGCUGGGGGUGAAAGGCCAAUCAAACCGGGAGAUAGCUGGUUCUCCCCGAAAGCUAUUUAGGUAGCGCCUCGUGAAUUCAUCUCCGGGGGUAGAGCACUGUUUCGGCUAGGGGGCCAUCCCGGCUUACCAACCCGAUGCAAACUGCGAAUACCGGAGAAUGUUAUCACGGGAGACACACGGCGGGUGCUAACGUCCGUCGUGAAGAGGGAAACAACCCAGACCGCCAGCUAAGGUCCCAAAGUCAUGGUUAAGUGGGAAACGAUGUGGGAAGGCCCAGACAGCCAGGAUGUUGGCUUAGAAGCAGCCAUCAUUUAAAGAAAGCGUAAUAGCUCACUGGUCGAGUCGGCCUGCGCGGAAGAUGUAACGGGGCUAAACCAU